GAUGAACGCUAGCGGCAGGCUUAAUACAUGCAAGUCGAGGGGCAGCAGUCCCGCAGCAAUGCGGGAGCUGGCGACCGGCAAACGGGUGCGGAACACGUACAGAACCUUCCUUCGAGCGGGGAAUAGCCCAGAGAAAUUUGGAUUAAUACCCCAUAGCAUUAACGAAGUGGCAUCACUUUGUAAUUAAAGAUUAUCACUCGAAGAUGGCGUGUGCGGCUGAUUAGGUAGUUGGCGGAGUAACGGCCCACCAAGCCUUCCGAUCAGUAACUGGUGUGAGAGCCACGACCAGUCACACGGGCACUGAGGACACGGGCCCGACUCCUACGGAGGCAGCAGUAAGGAAUAUUGGUCAAUGGACGAAAG
RNAcentral lists this ribosomal RNA (363 nucleotides) under uncultured bacterium. Its description in RNAcentral is "bacterial SSU rRNA". It matches the Rfam family "Bacterial small subunit ribosomal RNA", at positions 28 to 381 of the family's 1533-position model. The record is from RNAcentral.